GAAGACAGGAGGACCAUUUGCUCCUGUAUGGACAAACAGUAUCACAGACGUUCUUAUCUCUCUUUUCUCUCCUAAGAAUCUGUUUGUCUUUCUAAAGAAAACUGUUCUUCCCAGAGACUCUUAUUCUCCCACUACUAAUUUAGGUCUGUAAAUCUCUAACUUUAGCUGUGGACCAGGCUGGCUACUCCUUUUGUUAGCUCAUAUGCAUAUGAAAAACCUUUUCUCUCCUCUUAAUGUGUUUUUUGUCAGUUAAUUUCCAGGUACUGAAUCUUGGAGAGUAGAAGAGGUUUUUUACCCUCCCACACAGGGGAUCUGCACAGAUCUGCCUCAGAACUUCAUGAUGGAACAAAUAGGAGCACCCAGCCUUUAUAGAACUCACACAGGCUGUGAUUUAAAACCAGUCCAGUUCCUCCAUUGCCACAACCUGGCCCUGAGGAAUGUUCCACGGCUCCUGACUGAGAAGCCAUAUUGUGAUGAAGUGUGGGGGAUGGCCCUGCACAACACCCUACAAAAGCCUCUCUAUUCUGCCUCAGGCUGAUUUCAUGAUGCUGGGGGUUUGGAGGAGGGACAAUGGCACCCCAAGAGCAACUGUUCAGAGAAGGUGAUUCCAUGGGACUCAAACUCAUUAGUUCAAGAGUGUAGCUCUUUCAUAAUCCAGUAUUACCUAGUGAUAAAACUCAACAUGCAGGCAAAUGAAAAAAACAAACAACCCAUUUAAUAGAUGGGUGCAUGAAAUGAACAGACCCUUUUCAAAAGAAGUACUGUAUUACCAGAUUCCUGGGACUCCAACAGACCUUCAGGAGCCGAAUCCAACGCAAUCACACAAGAGUCUUUAUUGUAAGCUUGAGCCUGGACUCACAACAGUUUCUGAAGCAGCUCACUUCCCAGGAAGUGAGCCCUGGUCCUAUGUUCAAUGAGAUUUUAUAGGUUUUGGGGGAUACUCUAUGAGUCACAACAUCACACAGCAAAUCAUUCCACACCACAGGAAAUUUAAACAACAACUCUUAGCAUUGAUUAGCACAUUCACUGGUGGGAACAAGUUGGGUAGGGGUGAUUGGUUAGUACACGAGGGGAAUUUGUUUGAACGGAUUGGUUUAAUCCAUGAGGGGUGUAUGUGCUAAACUACAUGGUUUCCUAACAUAUUAUCAACCACCAUAAACUACUGGGGGGUCAUCUGGUAUCCCAGGUAUUUCCCUGUCUCAUGCUGAUUGAUGGUUGCUAGGAAGUUGUUAUGGGUCCUCACCUAGCCUAACUGAGUCAGGGACACCUGGCACCACAGAUCUCUCCUGUUAUUUGCAGACAAACAACUCAGCAGGGUGGCUAUCUGCCUCCUCAGGCUCUGUGGGUUU
This 1349-nucleotide long non-coding RNA is filed under the name Marmota monax (woodchuck). The record is from RNAcentral. Lineage: Eukaryota; Metazoa; Chordata; Mammalia; Rodentia; Sciuridae.